UCCAGACUCCUACGGGAGGCAGCAGUGGGGAAUAUUGGGCAAUGGGCGAAAGCCUGACCCAGCAACGCCGCGUGAAGGAAGAAGGCUUUCGGGUUGUAAACUUCUUUUGACAGGGAAGAGCAGAAGACGGUACCUGUCGAAUAAGCCACGGCUAACUACGUGCCAGCAGCCGCGGUAAUACGUAGGUGGCAAGCGUUAUCCGGAUUUACUGGGUGUAAAGGGCGUGUAGGCGGGGAAGCAAGUCAGAUGUGAAAACCACGGGCUCAACCUGUGGCCUGCAUUUGAAACUGUUUUUCUUGAGUACUGGAGAGGCAGACGGAAUUCCUAGUGUAGCGGUGAAAUGCGUAGAUAUUAGGAGGAACACCAGUGGCGAAGGCGGCCUGCUGGGCUUUAACUGACGCUGAGGCUCGAAAGCGUGGGGAGCAAACAGGAUUAGAUACCCGGGUA
Molecule: ribosomal RNA, 447 nt
Filed under: uncultured bacterium
Lineage: Bacteria
Description: partial 16S ribosomal RNA
Rfam family: Bacterial small subunit ribosomal RNA
Source: RNAcentral